RNAcentral lists this ribosomal RNA (497 nucleotides) under uncultured bacterium. RNAcentral describes it as "partial 16S ribosomal RNA". It matches the Rfam family "Bacterial small subunit ribosomal RNA", at positions 28 to 507 of the family's 1533-position model. The record is from RNAcentral.
GAUGAACGCUGGCGGCGUGCCUAAUACAUGCAAGUAGAACGCACAGACGAGGAGCUUGCUCUUCUGGCGUUAGCGGCGGACGGGUGAGUAACGCGUGGAUAACCUACCUUUUAGCGUGGGAUAACUAUUGGAAACGGGAGCUAAUACCGCAUAAUAUAUUGAACCGCAUGGUUCAUUUGUGAAAGACGGUUUUGCUGUACCUUAAGGAUGACUCCGCGUGGAUUUGGCUAGAGGGUAAGGAAACGGCCUACCAAGGCAAGUAUGCGUAGCCGACUGGGGAGGGGGAUCGCCCACACUGGAACGGAGACACGGUCCAGACUCCUACGGAGGGCAGCAGUGGGGAACCUUGGGCAAUGGGCGAAAGCCUGACGGAGCAACGCCGCGUGAGUGAGGAAGGUCUUCGGUUCGUAAAACUCUUUUAAUAGGGAGGAAGAGAGGUGUAAGGAAAUAUUCACGUCGUGACGGUACCUAAUCAGAAAGCCACGGCUAACUACGUG